This 377-nucleotide ribosomal RNA is filed under the name uncultured bacterium. RNAcentral describes it as "bacterial SSU rRNA". It matches the Rfam family "Bacterial small subunit ribosomal RNA", at positions 523 to 898 of the family's 1533-position model. The record is from RNAcentral.
AUACGUAGGUGGCAAGCGUUGUCCGGAUUUACUGGGCGUAAAGGAUGCGUAGGCGGAUUUUUAAGUGAGAUGUGAAAUUCCCGGGCUUAACUUGGGAGCUGCAUUUCAAACUGGAAGUCUAGAGUGCGGGAGAGGAAAGUGGAAUUCCUAGUGUAGCGGUGAAAUGCGUAGAGAUUAGGAAGAACACCAGUGGCGAAGGCGACUUUCUGGACCGUAACUGACGCUGAGGCAUGAAAGCGUGGGUAGCAAACAGGAUUAGAUACCCUGGUAGUCCACGCCGUAAACGAUGAGUACUAGGUGUAGGAGGUAUCGACCCCUUCUGUGCCGCAGUUAACACAAUAAGUACUCCGCCUGGGAAGUACGAUCGCAAGAUUAAA